This 274-nucleotide ribosomal RNA is filed under the name uncultured bacterium. RNAcentral describes it as "partial 16S ribosomal RNA". It matches the Rfam family "Bacterial small subunit ribosomal RNA", at positions 644 to 916 of the family's 1533-position model. The record is from RNAcentral.
GAGGUUGGGAGAGGGAUGUGGAAUUCCAGGUGUAGCGGUGAAAUGCGUAGAUAUCUGGAGGAACACCGGUGGCGAAGGCGGCAUCCUGGACCGGCAUUGACGCUGAGGCGCGAAAGCUAGGGGAGCAAACGGGAUUAGAUACCCCGGUAGUCCUAGCCCUAAACGAUGAGUGCUUGGUGUGGCGGGUAUCGAUCCCUGCCGUGCCGAAGCUAACGCAUUAAGCACUCCGCCUGGGGAGUACGGUCGCAAGGCUGAAACUCAAAUGAAUUGACGG